GGCGGUAUGGCCAAGUGGUAAGGCAAGAGCCUGCAAAGCUCUGAUCCCCGGUUCAAAUCCGGGUGCCGCCUCCA
This 74-nucleotide transfer RNA is filed under the name Helicobacteraceae bacterium. Its description in RNAcentral is "tRNA-Cys". It matches the Rfam family "tRNA". From Rfam's summary of the family: Transfer RNA (tRNA) molecules are approximately 80 nucleotides in length. Their secondary structure includes four short double-helical elements and three loops (D, anti-codon, and T loops). Further hydrogen bonds mediate the characteristic L-shaped molecular structure. tRNAs have two regions of fundamental functional importance: the anti-codon, which is responsible for specific mRNA codon recognition, and the 3' end, to which the tRNAs corresponding amino acid is attached (by aminoacyl-tRNA synthetases). tRNAs cope with the degeneracy of the genetic code in two manners: having more than one tRNA (with a specific anti-codon) for a particular amino acid; and 'wobble' base-pairing, i.e. permitting non-standard base-pairing at the 3rd anti-codon position. Lineage: Bacteria; Pseudomonadati; Campylobacterota; Epsilonproteobacteria; Campylobacterales; Helicobacteraceae. The record is from RNAcentral.